Molecule: long non-coding RNA, 279 nt
Organism: Anguilla anguilla (European eel)
Lineage: Eukaryota; Metazoa; Chordata; Actinopteri; Anguilliformes; Anguillidae
Exons: 2
Source: RefSeq, a predicted model, not a curated record
UGUGUGAGUAACUUGGCAUUCUUGUACGUUGAAAACGUGUUUUUUAUGAGAUAUAUAAAACUCCGCCCAUCGAACAUUCAGUUCAGCCAGUAAGUGAGGAAAUGCGGUCCAAAAGAGAAACUGAAACUUAACGGUCCUUUUAAUAACGGAGGAGAAAGAAUCCCCAGGAAAAAAGGAAUUAAAUUAAAUGUAAAACGGAGUAAACAGUCUGUUGUGGAGUGGAACUGAGCUGUUUGUUUAUAGGGUAAACGGACAUGGAACAACGCAGGCACACAUUAU